GGAGAGGUGGCUGAGUGGCCGAAAGCACCGCUUUGCUAAAGCGGCGUCUGGGUAUUCCCCGGACCCAGGGUUCGAAUCCCUGCCUCUCCG
Molecule: transfer RNA, 90 nt
Filed under: Planctomycetota bacterium
Lineage: Bacteria; Pseudomonadati; Planctomycetota
Also listed under: 1 other name
Description: Planctomycetes bacterium tRNA-Ser
Rfam family: tRNA
About the family: Transfer RNA (tRNA) molecules are approximately 80 nucleotides in length. Their secondary structure includes four short double-helical elements and three loops (D, anti-codon, and T loops).
Source: RNAcentral